UUCGGAAGGGAUGUGUUUAUUAGAUAAAAAACCAAUGCCCUUCGGGGCUUUUUGGUGAUUCAUGAUAACUUUACGGAUCGCAUAGCCUUGCGCUGGCGACGGUUCAUUCAAAUUUCUGCCCUAUCAACUUUCGAUGGUAAGGUAUUGGCUUACCAUGGUUUCAACGGGUAACGGGGAAUUAGGGUUCGAUUCCGGAGAGGGAGCCUGAGAAACGGCUACCACAUCCAAGGAAGGCAGCAGGCGCGCAAAUUACCCAAUCCCGACACGGGGAGGUAGUGACAAUAAAUACUGAUACAGGGCUCUUUUGGGUCUUGUAAUUGGAAUGAGUACAAUUUAAACCUCUUAACGAGGAACAAUUGGAGGGCAAGUCUGGUGCCAGCAGCCGCGGUAAUUCCAGCUCCAAUAGCGUAUAUUAAAGUUGUUGCAGUUAAAAAGCUCGUAGUUGAAACUUGGGCCUGGCUGGCGGGUCCGCCUCACCGCGUGCACUCGUCCGGCCGGGCCUUCCUUCUGAAGAACCUCAUGCCCUUCACUGGGCGUGCUGGGGAAUCAGGACUUUUACUUUGAAAAAAUUAGAGUGUUCAAAGCAGGCCUUUGCUCGAAUACGUUAGCAUGGAAUAAUAAAAUAGGGCGUGCGUUUCUAUUUUGUUGGUUUCUAGAGACGCCGCAAUGAUUAACAGGAACAGUCGGGGGCAUCAGUAUUCAGUUGUCAGAGGUGAAAUUCUUGGAUUUACUGAAGACUAACUACUGCGAAAGCAUUUGCCAAGGAUGUUUUCAUUAAUCAGUGAACGAAAGUUAGGGGAUCGAAGACGAUCAGAUACCGUCGUAGUCUUAACCGUAAACUAUGCCGACUAGGGAUCGGGCGAUGUUCUUUUUCUGACUCGCUCGGCACCUUACGAGAAAUCAAAGU
RNAcentral lists this ribosomal RNA (907 nucleotides) under Alternaria doliconidium. RNAcentral describes it as "SSU rRNA". It matches the Rfam family "Eukaryotic small subunit ribosomal RNA", at positions 191 to 1104 of the family's 1831-position model. The record is from RNAcentral. Lineage: Eukaryota; Fungi; Ascomycota; Dothideomycetes; Pleosporales; Pleosporaceae.